This is a long non-coding RNA of Gekko japonicus, 168 nucleotides long. RefSeq lists it as uncharacterized. Lineage: Eukaryota; Metazoa; Chordata; Lepidosauria; Squamata; Gekkonidae. The transcript is spliced from 3 exons. The record is from RefSeq and is a predicted model, not a curated record.
AGGAUCUAGUCUAGAUAUAUCUGGAAAUGAGGUCAAUAGAACACAGAACAUAGAGCAACAGGAGCAGAGCUCGACAGCGCAAGACCCAGGAGUAUCUGUGUGACAGUGAGGCUGCUCCAGGUUAAGGCCGCCAUGCAGACAGAUGUGCCAGGGGCCUCCUCCUCCUCC